GACGAACGCUGGCGGCGUGCUUAACACAUGCAAGUCGAGCGGUAAGGCCCUUUCGGGGUACGACGAGCGGCGAACGGGUGAGUAACACGUGGGUGACCUGCCCUCAGCUCUGGGAUAAGCCUGGGAAACCGGGUCUAAUACUGGAUAUGACUCCAUGACGCAUGUUGUGGGGUGGAAAGCCUUGUGCGGCUGAGGAUGGGCCCGCGGCCUAUCAGCUUGUUGGUGGGGUGAGGCCUACCAAGGCGACGACGGGUAGCCGGCCUGAGAGGGCGACCGGCCACACUGGGACUGAGACACGGCCCAGACUCCUACGGGAGGCAGCAGUGGGGAAGUUUUCCGCAAUGGGCGAAAGCCUGACGGAGUGACGCCGCGUGU
Molecule: ribosomal RNA, 375 nt
Filed under: uncultured bacterium
Lineage: Bacteria
Description: bacterial SSU rRNA
Rfam family: Bacterial small subunit ribosomal RNA
Source: RNAcentral